RNAcentral lists this ribosomal RNA (449 nucleotides) under uncultured bacterium. RNAcentral describes it as "partial 16S ribosomal RNA". It matches the Rfam family "Bacterial small subunit ribosomal RNA", at positions 29 to 523 of the family's 1533-position model. The record is from RNAcentral.
AAUGAACGCUGGCGGCAGGCCUAACACAUGCAAGUCGAACGGAUCCUUCGGGAUUAGUGGCGGACGGGUGAGUAACGCGUGGGAACAUACCCUUUGGUACGGAAUAGCCUCGGGAAACUGGGAGUAAUACCGUAUGUGGUCGAGAGACGAAAGAUUUAUCGCCAAAGGAUUGGCCCGCGUUGGAUUAGGUAGUUGGUGGGAUAAUGGCCUACCAAGCCGACGAUCCAUAGCUGGUUUGAAAGGAUGAUCAGCCACACUGGGACUGAGACACGGCCCAGACUCCUACGGGAGGCAGCAGUGGGGAAUCUUAGACAAUGGGGGAAACCCUGAUCUAGCCAUGCCGCGUGAUCGAUGAAGGCCUUAGGGUUGUAAAGAUCUUUCAGGUGGGAAGAUAAUGACUGUACCACCAGAAGAAGCCCCGGCUAACUCCGUGCCAGCCGCCGCAGUAA